Molecule: ribosomal RNA, 476 nt
Filed under: uncultured bacterium
Lineage: Bacteria
Description: partial 16S ribosomal RNA
Rfam family: Bacterial small subunit ribosomal RNA
Source: RNAcentral
GAUGAACGCUGGCGGCGUGCUUAACACAUGCAAGUCGAGCGAGUGAGUUCUUCGGAACGAUCUAGCGGCGGACGGGUGAGUAACACGUGGGCAACCUGCCUCAUAGAGGGGAAUAGCCUCCCGAAAGGGAGAUUAAUACCGCAUAAAAUUAGCGAGUGGCAUCACACGGUAAUCAAAGGAGUAAUCCGCUAUGAGAUGGGCCCGCGGGGCAUUAGCUAGUUGGUGAGGUAACGGCGCACCAAGGCGACGAUGCGUAGCCGACCUGAGAGGGUGAUCGGCCACAUUGGGACUGAGACACGGCCCAGACUCCUACGGGAGGCAGCAGUGGGGAAUAUUGCACAAUGGGGGAAACCCUGAUGCAGCAACGCCGCGUGAGUGAUGAAGGUCUUCGGAUUGUAAAGCUCUGUCUUUGGGGACGAUAAUGACGGUACCCAAGGAGGAAGCCACGGCUAACUACGUGCCAGCAGCCGCCGUAA